UUUGGACAAUGGGCGCAAGCCUGAUCCAGCCAUGCCGCGUGAGUGAAGAAGGCCUUCGGGUUGUAAAGCUCUUUCGGCCGGGAAGAAAUCGGUCUCUCUAAUACGGGGAUCGGAUGACGGUACCGGACUAAGAAGCACCGGCUAACUACGUGCCAGCAGCCGCGGUAAUACGUAGGGUGCGAGCGUUAAUCGGAAUUACUGGGCGUAAAGCGUGCGCAGGCGGUUUGCUAAGACAGGUGUGAAAUCCCCGGGCUUAACCUGGGAACUGCGCUUGUGACUGGCAGGCUAGAGUACGGUAGAGGGGGGUGGAAUUCCUGGUGUAGCAGUGAAAUGCGUAGAGAUCAGGAGGAACACCGAUGGCGAAGGCAGCCCCCUGGGCCUGUACUGACGCUCAUGCACGAAAGCGUGGGGAGCAAACAGG
RNAcentral lists this ribosomal RNA (421 nucleotides) under uncultured bacterium. Its description in RNAcentral is "bacterial SSU rRNA". It matches the Rfam family "Bacterial small subunit ribosomal RNA", at positions 363 to 776 of the family's 1533-position model. The record is from RNAcentral.